RNAcentral lists this ribosomal RNA (461 nucleotides) under uncultured bacterium. Its description in RNAcentral is "partial 16S ribosomal RNA". It matches the Rfam family "Bacterial small subunit ribosomal RNA", at positions 28 to 523 of the family's 1533-position model. The record is from RNAcentral.
GAUGAACGCUGGCGGCGUGCCUAAUACAUGCAAGUCGAGCGGUAAGGCUCCUUCGGGAGUACACGAGCGGCGGACGGGUGAGUAAUACGUAGGAACGUACCCCAAAGUGAGGAAUAACCAGCCGAAAGGUUGGCUAAUACCGCAUAUGCUCUACGGAGUAAAGCAGCAAUGCGCUUUGAGAACGGCCUGCGUCCGAUUAGCUAGUUGGUAAGGGAAAGGCUUACCAAGGCGACGAUCGGUAGCUGUUCUGAGAGGAGGAUCAGCCACACUGGAACUGCGACACGGUCCAGACUCCUACGGGAGGCAGCAGUAGGGAAUUUUCCACAAUGGGCGAAAGCCUGAUGGAGCAACGCCGCGUGCAGGAUGAAGGCCUUAGGGUUGUAAACUGCUUUUAUCUGUGACGAUUAUGACAGUAGCAGAUGAAUAAGGAUCGGCUAACUCCGUGCCAGCCGCCGCAGUAA